Impatiens glandulifera is the source of this 8287-nucleotide long non-coding RNA. RefSeq lists it as uncharacterized. The record is from RefSeq and is a predicted model, not a curated record. The transcript has 2 exons. Lineage: Eukaryota; Viridiplantae; Streptophyta; Magnoliopsida; Ericales; Balsaminaceae.
UCCGUACAACAUAACAUUCACUAGGAUGCCUGUAAGUUCUUUCACGCUAUUGACUUUGUAGGUAGGGACUUCCUCUCUUAGGAGAAUUAUGAUGUUAUAUCCUGCAAGGUAUACAUGUAAGUUAUUCCCUGCUAUUUUGCUAGCUAUUCCUUUUCCUUUGUGUUAUUAGUGGUAUUGAGUUUUGCUUCUACCAUGAAGGCCAACUGUUUCUCUUAUAUUUAGUGAAAUUCUUCUCUCUCACGUGGAUGUAGGAAUUUCUUCUCUCUGGCGUAGGCCGAUCUUAUUUCUAAUUGAUUCAUCGACUAGUAUCUAGUAUCUAUGAUCUAUUUCUGUGGUCGACCUUUUCUUCCCUUUAAUUGGCUGGAGAUUGUUGAUUUCUCCGGCGAAGGAGUGUUCUGAUAUGACAGGCCUGGUUUUUUCAGAAAAGUUAAAUAUUUGUGAUAUUUUCUUGCGUCAGCAUUUUCUUCCCAGAAGUUGCUGCAGAUUGUUAAUUAUUCUAGAGGAAGAUUUCUGAUCUGACAGGCCUGAAUUUUAUCGAUAAGAUUGUUAUCACACCAACCUCUUAUUAUGGUUACGAGGAUUUCUUUCUUUAUUACCAGGGUUAGCUUUUAGCGAAAAGAUGACGUGUUUUUACUGGAACUAUUGUCAGGUCGGUUCUAUCUCUGGAUCAAGGAUCGUAGAUACAAUUAAACCCUCUAUUCCCGAUACUGUUUUCAGUCCACCCGUCGUUCUAACUAUUUUCCCUAGGUCUUUCCAUUUGUUGAUUUUCAAUCAUUUCCUUCCGGAUGUCGGUUUUUUAUAUUAGGAUUAACUAACAGGAAGAGGGUAAUCUUGUUUUGGUUGUCUUGGAAGGUUGAGUUUUAUGUUGGCAUGAAGGGCAAUUUGGAAAAAGCAGGCCUUUGGUUAUGGCAGUAUCCAAAUUUAUUUUCUCCUAUUUUGUGGUAUUAAAUCAUGAUUAGGGUUAUAGGUAGGAGAUGACUUGUUCUUAUUUGCCUUAGGUUGCCUUGCUGUUAUAUAACGGAGGAGUGGGAGUACGGUUCAAUCCUGGAAACUCUAUGGAUAAACUACUGGAUAUAAAAAGAACAGGCUUAUCCGUCUAUCUUUCAAUUUGUUCACUUAGUAAUUUGAUUAUGAUUAGGAAAGUUUAUAGGUAAGCAGUGAUUGUGUUCUUAUUGGCGUAGGAUUAAUUUUUCCUUGGAUCGUGGAGUGGUCAAUGUCAAGCCUGGCUAGAUACUCAAUUGGGCUGAUGGGCAGAUGGAAAUAAAAACAGGCUUGUGGUUAUGGAUGUCUUUGGAUUUAUUCACCCUUGAUAUAUUUGUUUGUGUAUUGAUUAUGGUAAUAGCUAAGAUAUGAUGUGUUCUUAUUGACCUUGAUAGGAUAAUUUUUUCUUUGGAUUGUGGAGUGGUAAAUAUUCAACUCUGUCUGGACAAUCUAUUUGGCUAAUGGAUGGAUGAAAGUAUGAACUAUCUUCUGACUUCUGGUUAUGGGGUGUCUUAAUUUAUUCCCCAUUGAUAUUUUUGUCUUCGUGUUAUGAUUAAGAUUAAUACUUCAUAAGGUAGGUGAUGAUGUGUUCUUAUUUGCCUUGGUAGGAUGUAUAUUUUGUUGGAUUCUCGAGUGAAGAUAUGCCUUUUGCAGUUCCAAGACAGUUUUGGUGGUUGUGAUCUUCAAAUACAAUCAUUCUUGAGUUAAUCUUUUGUGUUAACUUACUUCCAUUAUAUUGUAAAAUAUAAUUUUCUCAUUGUGUUUGCUAGGAUGGCAGAUGCAUUCUCCUUCAACUGAAGUUAUCCGGUUUUGUUUUCCUGAUCUUCAAAUAGUCAUUGAGCUCAUUUUUUGUGUUAUUUCCCCACAAAUUAGUCUAUCAUGUAAAAUAUAUUUUUUCACUUGUGAUUUUAGGAUUGCUGAAUGAUAUGAACUCCAUGAGUGGAUCUAACAAUCUUUCAAUCAAAUUAUUCGGUUUGAUUACCGUCUUCAAAUAGUCCUUCAAAAUUCACAUUUUGUGUUAUAUCAUCAUUAAUUUAUGGUGUAAUAUAAUUUGCUCUCGUGUUUUUAGGCUGGCGGAUGCUAUCUCUAUAUGUCUAAACAAAUUAUCUGUUCUCGGUUGCCCUGGUCUUCAAAUAGAGCCUUCUUUUGUGUUAUUUCAUCAAGAUUAGUCGAUAUAAAUAGUGUUUUCUUGGUGGUACUAAUUUUGUUGUUCUCCUGUAUUCUGUCCUUGGAUGAUGGAGAACCUGAGAUAAAUAUUGGCUACUAGUCUUUUGAUAUCUUCCCAAUUUCAGCCUUUACAAUAUUCAUAUACUUAUGUUCCCAAUUUAAUUUACUACAUACAAUUUAAUUUUCCUUUCUAGAUGAUUUUAAUGACAUGUUGUCUCUUUGCUCCGCCAGUUAAACCUCUAUCUCGUGUAAUUUCUUCAUUUUACGAUGAUCAUCUUGGCUUGUGAAAAUUGAACCUUUUAAUCAGGGUUUUAUCUAUCAGAUAGAUCACAGUGCUUCUUCAAAAUUAUUUAAGUGACUAAAUUUUCAUGAUAUUUUGGAUCCAUUUUCAUGAUCUCUCAAAAUUUGGAUUUUCCCUCUUCUAUUUUGUACAGAUAAAGAGAGCUUAAUGGAGUUUUUCCUGCCUGGUUUGAACUACCUCUCUCUCUAUUAUCUUCACUUUAACUUGCCAAAUGUUUAAUCUUAGAGAGAGUACAUGAUAUUUUUGCUCACCUUGCAGUAUUAGGUCAUUAUUUGGGUAGUCUCACUAAUCUUUUGUAUUCGUUUAUCAUAUUUUAUAAAGAAAAAUUGGAUCAUUUUGUGUUUGUCUAGUAGAAUUUCUAUUGAUAAUAAAGACUUCCUCAUUGCAUAAUUUUGACAUUUUAGCUUGUAAGGGUACAACUAUAAGUUUUCCCUGUUGACGUUGUAGGAACUUUCUUCUUAGAAAGCUUUCCAUAUUCUAGCCUGCAAAAGCACCUGUAAGUUCUUACUGGUUAUUGAAAAGUCAUUUUCCCUUGUCUUAUAUUCUAAGGUAUUUUGAGGGGUGAAGAUGCAUUCUUGAUGAUCCCUGUAGAUUUACUCCCUUAAUGUUUUCCUGUAAUAGAAUGUUUCUUUAUUUUUGAAUGCUAGAGCGUACAUGCUCUUGCAGUUGGUUAUCACGUUGGUGUCAUCUUCAGCACGCCCACCCAUUGGUAAAUUUUAAAUUUGUUUUGAUAAGAACAUUAGAAUUGUAUUUUUGUACACCAAUUAUUUUGCCUUCAGGAGGUACCUUUUAAGUUCUUCCCUGCGCUGGACUUGUAAGAGCUUUCACUUUGGAUAAGUUUGAUCUAAUAGUCUGCUGCAAGUCCAUCCUUUUCUAUUGAUUCAUCGAGUAUUAUCUAUGAUCUAUUUCUAUCGUCGAUCUUUUCUUCUCUUAAGUGGCUGCAGAUUGUUGAUUACUCUGGCGGAAGAAGUUCGGAUCUGACAGGCCUGUUUUUAUCAGUUAAGUUUAGUCGGUUGUUCUAUCCCUGGAUCAAGGAUCGUAGAUACAAUUAAACCCUCUAUUCCCGAUACUGUUUUCAGUCCACCCGUCGUUCUAACUAUUUACCCUAGGUCUUUCCAUUUGUUGAUUUUCAAUUAUUUCUUUCCGAUCUCGUGCUCACGGUUUACCAAUAUGGGAAGGAAUAAUUUGCUUUUCUUGGCCUGGGUGGUGAAAAACUGGAGAUAAAUUCUUUAUUCUGGUAAUGGCGGACUUUGAGUGUAUUUUAUUUAGAUGUCGUUUUUUAUAUUAGGGUUAACGAACAGGAAGAGGAUAAUCUUGUUUUGGUUGUCUUGGAAGGUUGACUUUUAUGUUGGCAUGAAGGGCAAUUUGGAAAAAGCAGGCCUCUAGUUAUGGCAGUAUCCAAAUUUAUUCUAUCCUAUUUUGUGGUAUUAAAUUAUGAUUAGGGUUAUAGGCAGGAGAUGACUUGUUCUUAUUUGCCUUAGGUUGUCUUGCUGUUAUAUAACGGAGGAGUGGGAGUACUGUUCAAUCCUGGAUACUCUAUGGAUAAACAACUGGAUAUAAAAAGAACAGGCUUAUCCGUCUAUCUUUCAAUUUAUUCACUUAGUAAUUUAAUUAUGAUUAGGAAAGUUUAUAGGUAAGUGGUGAUUGUGUUCUUAUUGGCGUAGAUUAAUUUUUCCUUGAAUCGUGGAGUGGUCAAUGUCAAGCCUGGCUAGAUACUCAAUUGGGCUGAUGGGCGGAUAGAAAUAAAAACAGGCUUCUGGUUAUGGGUGUCUUUGGAUUUAUUCACCCUUAAUAUAUUUGUUUGUGUAUUGAUUAUGAUAAUAAAUACUUCUUAUCUAAGAUAUGAUGUGUUCUUAUUGACUUUGAUAGGUCGUGGAGUGGUGAAUAUUCAACCUGUCUGGACAAUUUAUUUGGCUAAUGGAGGGAUGAAAUAUAAACUAACUAUCUUCUGACUUCUGGUUUCGGGGUGUCUGUUAAUUUAUUCCCCAUUGAUUUAUUUGUUUAUGUGAUAUGACUAAGAAUAAUACCAUAAGGUAGGUGAUGAUGUGUUCUUAUUUGCCUUGGUAGGAUGUAUAUUUUCUUGGAUUCUCGAGUGGAGUUAUGCCUGUUGCAGUUCCAGUCAGUUUUGGUUAUUGUGAUCUUCAAAUACAUUCAUUCUUGAGUUCAUAUUUUGUGUUAACUUCAUCAUUAUAUUGUAAAAUAUAAUUUGGCUUCUAGUGUUGUUAGGAUGGUAGAUGGAAUCUCCUUCAAAUGAAGUUAUCCGGUUUUGGUUGCCCUGAUGAGUGGAUCUAACAAUCGUUCAACCAAAUUAGCUGGUUUGGUUACGGUUCUUGUAUGUUAUUCAUCAGUAAUUUAUUGUAAAAUAUAAUAUGCUCGUGUUUUGAUCUCUAUGUCUAUACAAAUUAUUUGUUCUCUGUUACCCUGGUCUUCAAAUAGAGCCUUCCUUUGUGUUAUUUCAUUACAAAGAUUUAUUUCCUAGUGGUACAAUUCUUGUUGUCCUUCUUAGGAUGUCUUUUUCUGUCCUUGGAUGAUGGAGAACCUGGGAUAAAUUUUGGCUACUAGUCUCUUGAUAUCUUGCCGAUUUCAGCCUUUACUACAUUCAUAUGUAUGUUCCCAAUUUAAUUUACUACAGACAUAUGCGGAUGUUUAUUUAUCCUAAUUUUCCAUUGGAGAUGUUUUUGAAAGCUUAAGGUACGACAUGUUUUGUGUCUUUCUUCCGUCAGUUACACAUUUUUCUCAUGUCUUUUCUGCAUAUUACGAUGAUCAACCUUUUUAUUAGGAUUCUUUCUAUUAGAUCAUUUAAGUGACUAAUUUUUCAUGAUGUUUUGGAUCCAUUUCACGAUCUCUCUCAAAAGUUGGAUAUUCUCUCUUCUAUUUUUGUACAGAUAUAGAGAGCUUAUUGGAGUAUUUCUUGCCUGGUUUGAACUACCUCUUUUUAUUGACUUCCCUUUAACUUGUGAAAUGUUUAUUAUUAGGGAGGCAGUACAUAUGAUAUUUUUGCUCAUCUUCCAGUUGUAGGUGGUUAUUUGGGUAGUCUCACUAAUCUUUGGUAUUUGUUUUAUCACAUUUUCUAAAUUUUAUUUUGGUCAUUUUUGUGUUUUGUCUCAUAGAAUUUCAAUUGAUAAUAACUUUGUAAGUACUUUCUCAUUGCAUAAGUUUUUCCUUUUGUUGAAGUUGUAGGAACUUUCUUGUUAGAAAGUUUUCAAUAUUCUAGUCUGCAAAAGCACCUGUAAGUUCUCACUUAUUAUUGAAAAUCCAUUUCCCUUUGUUUCUUUGUCUAAUAUUUUAAAGUAGUUUGAGAGUAAAGAUGCAUUCUUAAUGAUCUCUUUAGUUUUGCUUCCUUAAUCUUUUUCUUUUUGGAUGUUUGGUGUACAUGCUCCUGCAGUUGCUUAUCAUGAUGGUGUCAUCUCCAACACUUCCACCCAUUUCUGGAUUCCAAUUUUUUUUAUAAGUGACAUUGGAAUUAUAUUUUUGUUCACCAAUUAUUUUGCCUUCAAGAGAUAACCUUUUAAGUUCUUUCAUGCGUUUGACUUAUAAAAUCUCUCUCCCUGGAUAAGUUUGAUGUUAUAGUCUACUGCAAAUCCAUCAUUUUCAUCUUGCGUUGUUCUAAGGUAAUUUGAGGGAUAAUACUCUUUGGUUUGGCCUAAUUCCACCUAGGAAUGCUUCUUGUUUAUAUUUUUGGACAAUCUGGUGGAUGCCAUUGCACUUGGUUACUACAGAUGGUAUCGUUUUUGUUGACAGUGACUCUUGGCUUUUGAUGUUGAUAUUGCAUUUGUCUGCUCCAGUUACUUUGCCUUCAAGAAGAAACUCCUCCUAUAUUUACGUCACAGAAAAUCAACAUUGAUAAUAUAUAGCAUUGGAUAACUAUGAUAAUAUAGCCUCUGAUGUUGCAUUUGAUACUACUACAGCCUGGUGUAGUAAGUUAAAGUCCCUUUCGCUUGUGUUGAAGGAUAGCUGCCCAGCUUUCAUGUUUAUUGAGUGUUAUGUUCCUUCAUGCUUUGGAGCUAGCUCCUGUCCCCUUGUAUCUUUGUCUAGUCUCUCUGGUAGAUUCCUUUGCAGUUGGUUAUCAUGGAUGGGGUCAUCUACAUCUUCUUUGGCUUGAAAGUUCUUACCAUUUAUUGGAAUAUUUCUCAAUUUUUGGACAACUGGUAGAUGCCUUUGCAGUUGGUUAUCAUAGAUGGGGUCAUCUAUAUCAUGGUGGUUCUUCACUUUGAUUUUCUUUUUAUGAUUUUGUGGACAACAUACAUUGCACUAGGGUACCUGUAAGUUCUUUCACGCAAUUGACAUUCACAAAUUGGUUCAUACUUUCUCUCUUAGACUUUGAUGUUAUAGCCCGCCACGUAUACUCUGAUAAAUUCUUCCCUGCUGUUUAGCUAGUUAUUGUCCCUUUUUCCUUUCUAUUCUAUGCGUUAUUCUAGGGCAAUUUGAGGGAAGGACUUCGAAUGCUUGGUGUGUGGUUUGAUCCCUAAUCUUUUACCUUUACUGGAACGCUUCUUGAUGUCCAUGCAAUUGGUUGGAUUGUGUCAUCUUUAUGUUGUCAAUUCCCUACUUUCAUAAGUUUGAUCUAGUUGGCAACAUUGAUAUUCCAUUUGUGCACAUGCUAUAUUGACCAUCUUGAACUCUAGGUGGUAUGGAUAAGGUUUUGCCUUAAUUUGAAUUCAUGAAGUCUUUGGCUCAAUAAUGCUUUUUUGAUAAACGCACACAGUUGUCUUUUUGAAUUACGGUGGCAGCUUGAUUAUUUUCUAUAAUUGUGCUUACAACUCAACGGUGCUAAUAUAUAUGGUUAGAACUUCACGAAUUAAUUGGUUUAUUUUCAAGUUGUGGAUGGUCUCUUACUAAUUUAAUGGUACACAUUUUUCUUUCAAGUAUGCUAGUCAAAUUUCCAGUCCAAUACUUUCAGCAAAAAGUAGUGGCCUUUUGACCUAGUUUACUGGUGCUUUCAAGUGUCUUCAGUACUAUCAGCAAAAAGUAUAAAAUUGUCAUUUAUGGUUUAUGGUAUCAAUCUAGACGACUUGCGGAAGCUUCCAUGAAACUCGUUUUGCAUUUUACUAUUUGGCUUUUGGGGAGGAGAAGUGGAAGGAAAUAUGUUCUAAGGAUGCAUUUAACUGAAUUGCCUGGGAAAUGUCAUAUUUCACAAUGAUAUAUUAGGACUCUGUCUUGAUGGUGUGCUUUAAUGAGUUAUCUCAUUCAAAAUACUAGGACUGCAACAGUGUUAUGUUCUUGCUGGGAAAUAUUCUGCUAUUUUUGGAAAAAAUUAUGACCAAUUAGUGAAUGUGGUAAGAGGUGUUAGAAGCUCCUUUGUAUCAUGUGACUUGCGAUGAUAUGAUAUACCAAGUGCAAAUGCUCUAGAGCUCCAUGGAACCCCUGAUUUGCUUAAUUCUGCUGCUCUUAUUUUGCUUCUUUUGGGGAGGGGAGGAGGGAAUAUGUCUAAGAAUACAUUUUACCAUUCAUGGAUGUUAUUUAACUGAAUUCUCCCAGGGAAAUGUCAUAUUCCACAAUGAUAGACAUUUAGCUCUUUGUCAUGAUGGUGCUUCAAAUGAAUUUUCUCAUUCAUGGUCUGCAAGUGUGUUAUUGAUGUUCUGUUUGAUAUGAACCUGAAUGGGUAGGUGUUAGAAGCUCCUUUAAUGUCUGCUGCUGGGAAAUUGUCUUGCACUCGUUUGUUAAUGCAUAAUGUGUCCAGAAUAAAUGCAUAAGAGAGUUUAUUGUGUUUGGUAGAAGAAAUUCUGCUAGCGGCUUAUGUUGGAGUUUUCUUUGAUAUAUGAUGAAACUCAUUUGUUAUACUCUUUGUUUGUCAUCACAAAAUGUUGGACUUUGAGAAUUGGCUUAGUUUUUUAUUUA